Molecule: ribosomal RNA, 442 nt
Filed under: uncultured bacterium
Lineage: Bacteria
Description: partial 16S ribosomal RNA
Rfam family: Bacterial small subunit ribosomal RNA
Source: RNAcentral
CCUACGGGAGGCUGCAGUGGGGAAUAUUGGGCAAUGGGCGCAAGCCUGACCCAGCAACGCCGCGUGAAGGAAGAAGGCUUUCGGGUUGUAAACUUCUUUUAAGAGGGAAGAGCAGAAGACGGUACCUCUUGAAUAAGCCACGGCUAACUACGUGCCAGCAGCCGCGGUAAUACGUAGGUGGCAAGCGUUUUCCGGAUUUACUGGGGGUAAAGGGCGUGUAGCCGGGCUGACAAGUCAGAUGUGAAAGUCCGGGGAGCAGCCCCGGACCUGCAUUUGAAACUGUUGGUCUUGAGUAUCGGAGAGGCAGGCGGAAUUCCUAGUGUAGCGGUGAAAUGCGUAGAUAUUAGGAGGAACUCCAGUGGCGAAGGCGGCCUGCUGGACGCCAACUGACGGUGAGGCGCGAAAGCGUGGGGAGCAAACAGGAUUAGAUACCCUUGUAGUC